GUUACUGUUCCUGGCAUUGAUUGCCUUGGUACAAUACAACCAUGGAGAGUCACACAGGGCUCCUGCUGACAGGGCCUGUAUUGCGAUCAGAUUUUCUGUGCAAUGGCUCCAUACGUA
Echinops telfairi (small Madagascar hedgehog) is the source of this 117-nucleotide non-coding RNA. NCBI's taxonomy places the organism in Eukaryota, Metazoa, Chordata, Mammalia, Afrosoricida, Tenrecidae. The record is from RefSeq and is a predicted model, not a curated record.